AGAAAACAUUAGCAAAGGUUAACUAAUGGAAAGCUCCUUCGAGUUUUAUGAAAUAGUACGGUUAUAUUACAGACGGAAGCAAAUUUCCCUAAAGAGGAUGCUGUGAUAUUUUAUAACUUCAACCCCCUAGGUUAGUAGGCUUUCUGAUAAGGAAUGCCCACUCGAAAAGCAUUCUAACAUCUUGAAUCAGAAAUAACUGUUACAGGUUUCAGAUCAUCCAGAUUCCACUGAAUUCAGAUUAUAUAUUAGGUUGGUGUUGGACGUUAACCCAGGAACUCAGGUAAACAAAUACAUUUCCAAGUUUUCUCUUAUCCACCAUGAGUUUAAGUAUUGUAUCAGUUUUCGUUUUGCCCAGGGGAUCACGGAAGUUCAACAGUGGAUCUUAUUAAGUGGCUUAUUGAAGAGAAAAAAAAUUAAUCAUGGGAAUGACCUACUGUGGCGUACCUGGCAGACUCGGAAGGGGGAAGGGCCCCCCAAUACUUGUUAGCUUACUUUAGACAAUAUGUUUAUGGCCGUCUCUAGUUUGAAUAACAUCAUUUGCUGAAAUCUUGCGUUCUUAGGGGCCCUGACGUCACACGCCACUGGAAGGUCCUCUUCCAAAAGAGUAUCAUGAGCUUUUACGAAAAGCACUCACUUGUUUCCGUGGUAACCAGGACUGGUGACAGCGCUCCCUCCCCGACAGCUCAAGCCCCAGGAGCCAUGGGUGAAGGGAACUGGUGGCUGCUGCCAGGGAGGGCUCCCCUCCCUGCUGACUGAGCACUGACUUAGCGUGCUGAGAGAAAACGCUCUUGACUUCCACAGGAACUUCUGCUACAGUUCACACGGAUAUGCCCUCUGACCCUACAUUGCUGCAGAAGACGAGAGAACGAAUCAGCGCUUGCCUUAAACGAAACACCACCACUCUGGCAAUCUUUUGAAAGUGAAGUCCCUGUUUGCAGAGAAACAGACUCACACAGCUUGUCAAACCUUUUUAGGGGCUGAGGGCGACACCAAAGUCCUUUUGUCAUUGGUCUUAGGGAGACCUUCCUGUAUCUGACUGCGGGCUGGGGUCAGGCCUCUCCUCAGGCUGACCCCCCCGACCUUCUGGGCCCCUCCUCUGGCCCACAGCUCUGCCUCCCCUGAGUCACGUGUGCUGCUCUUCGAAGCAGCUAGGUAGCGGGAGGCAGCCUCAGCGUCCCCAGGAGGGCUAGGCACUGACCUGUGCCCCAGAAGCAAGACCCUUCGUUGACACCAAUGAAGUCAGCCAGCUCUGUAGUAUAAAAGGCAGACCUCCAUUUCAGCUGGCUUUCUGGGAAAUUUGUCUUUGCCCUUGGUUUGGCUUUUAGACAGUACCUUUUCCUCAGAAGGACAAGGCCCAAGGAAAUAAUGCCACCACGCCUUGCACACGUAAGAAGGAGUUAAAAACCAGCACUUAACAAGCCAGCACCCUCAGACUACUCAGGACUCCCAGACCCUGCAGGCAGGCGUCAAGGCGAAGGAGGUGGAGCUGGGAAUAAGAAAGCUGAAAAAUCAUUCUGGAGGAUUCAGUGCGUAUUGGCCCAUUCCAACUCCACUGGCCAGAAAGCAGUAAAGAACCUCAAAAUGUCUGUAGUUGCUCAAA
Molecule: long non-coding RNA, 1600 nt
Organism: Leopardus geoffroyi (Geoffroy's cat)
Lineage: Eukaryota; Metazoa; Chordata; Mammalia; Carnivora; Felidae
Exons: 2
Source: RefSeq, a predicted model, not a curated record